This 434-nucleotide ribosomal RNA is filed under the name Bacillus sp. R-27400. RNAcentral describes it as "bacterial SSU rRNA". It matches the Rfam family "Bacterial small subunit ribosomal RNA", at positions 28 to 450 of the family's 1533-position model. The record is from RNAcentral. Lineage: Bacteria; Bacillati; Bacillota; Bacilli; Caryophanales; Bacillaceae.
GACGAACGCUGGCGGCGUGCCUAAUACAUGCAAGUCGAGCGGAGUUUCAAGAAGCUUGCUUUUUGAAMSUUAGCGGCGGACGGGUGAGUAACACGUGGGCAACCUGCCCCUUAGACUGGGAUAACUCCGGGAAACCGGAGCUAAUACCGGAUAAUCCCUUUYUCCACCUGGAGAGAGGGUGAAAGAUGGCUUCGGCUAUCACUAGGGGAUGGGCCCGCGGCGCAUUAGCUAGUUGGUAAGGUAACGGCUUACCAAGGCAACGAUGCGUAGCCGACCUGAGAGGGUGAUCGGCCACACUGGGACUGAGACACGGCCCAGACUCCUACGGGAGGCAGCAGUAGGGAAUCUUCCGCAAUGGACGAAAGUCUGACGGAGCAACGCCGCGUGAGUGAGGAAGGCCUUCGGGUCGUAAAGCUCUGUUGUGAGGGAAGAAG